RNAcentral lists this transfer RNA (75 nucleotides) under Candidatus Anammoximicrobium sp. RNAcentral describes it as "tRNA-Asn". It matches the Rfam family "tRNA". Rfam says of the family: Transfer RNA (tRNA) molecules are approximately 80 nucleotides in length. Their secondary structure includes four short double-helical elements and three loops (D, anti-codon, and T loops). Further hydrogen bonds mediate the characteristic L-shaped molecular structure. tRNAs have two regions of fundamental functional importance: the anti-codon, which is responsible for specific mRNA codon recognition, and the 3' end, to which the tRNAs corresponding amino acid is attached (by aminoacyl-tRNA synthetases). tRNAs cope with the degeneracy of the genetic code in two manners: having more than one tRNA (with a specific anti-codon) for a particular amino acid; and 'wobble' base-pairing, i.e. permitting non-standard base-pairing at the 3rd anti-codon position. Lineage: Bacteria; Pseudomonadati; Planctomycetota; Planctomycetia; Pirellulales; Pirellulaceae. The record is from RNAcentral.
UGCGGUGGUCUCCGUGUUGGUACGGACGUGCGGCUGUUGACCGCGCCGACGCAGGUUCGAUUCCUGCCGCCGCAG